This 485-nucleotide ribosomal RNA is filed under the name uncultured bacterium. Its description in RNAcentral is "partial 16S ribosomal RNA". It matches the Rfam family "Bacterial small subunit ribosomal RNA", at positions 28 to 523 of the family's 1533-position model. The record is from RNAcentral.
GACGAACGCUGGCGGCGUGCUUAACACAUGUAAGUCGAACGGUGAAAGCGGAGCUUGCUCCGCUGGAUCAGUGGCGAACGGGUGAGUAACACGUGGGCAACCUGCCCUUCACUUCGGGAUAACUCCGGGAAACCGGGGCUAAUACCGGAUAUGACCUCUGCGGGCAUCCGCGGAGGUGGAAAGUUUUUCGGUGAAGGAUGGGCCCGCGGCCUAUCAGCUUGUUGGUGAGGUAGUGGCUCACCAAGGCGACGACGGGUAGCCGGCCUGAGAGGGGGACGGGCCACAAUGGGCCUGAGUCACGGCCGAGGCGCCUACGGGAGGCAGCAGUGGGGAAUAUUGCGCAAUUGGCGAAAGCCUGACGCAGCGACGCCGCGUGCGGGAUGACGGCCUUCGGGUUGUAAACCGCUCUCAGCAGGGAAGAAGCCGCAAGGUGACGGUACCUGCAGAAGAAGCACCGGCUAACUACGUGCCAGCAGCCGCCGUAA